RNAcentral lists this ribosomal RNA (497 nucleotides) under uncultured bacterium. RNAcentral describes it as "partial 16S ribosomal RNA". It matches the Rfam family "Bacterial small subunit ribosomal RNA", at positions 28 to 507 of the family's 1533-position model. The record is from RNAcentral.
GAUGAACGCUGGCGGCGUGCCUAGUACAUGCAAGUCGAGCGAACAGACGAGGAGCUUGCUCCUCUGACGUUAGCGGCGGACGGGUGAGUAACACGUGGAUAACCUACCUAUAAGACUGGGAUAACUUCGGGAAACCGGAGCUAAUACCGGAUAACAUGUUGAACCGCAUGGUUCAACAGUGAAAGACGGUCUUGCUGUCACUUAUAGAUGGAUCCGCGCCGCAUUAGCUAGUUGGUAAGGUAACGGCUUACCAAGGCAACGAUGCGUAGCCGACCUGAGAGGGUGAUAGGCCACACUGGAACUGAGACACGGUCCAGACUCCUACGGGAGGCAGCAGUAGGGAAUCUUCCGCAAUGGGCGAAAGCCUGACGGAGCAACGCCGCGUGAGUGAAGAAGGUCUUCGGAUCGUAAAACUCUGUUAUUAGGGAAGAACAAAUGUGUAAGUAACUAUGCACGUCUUGACGGUACCUAAUCAGAAAGCCACGGCUAACUACGUG